GCAAGGCUUUUCCAAUCUCUAUAUAUAGAUAUCACACACACAUACUGAUAAAUUCUAAAACAAAGCAUAUCCAAUCUUCUUCUUCUUGUUGUUGUUGUUCUACAUAUAAAAACAAAAGAAACAUGAGUUACUACAAUCAACAACAAGCACCUCCUCCUUCAUAUCCUCCUCCAGGACAGGCUUAUCCAGCACCAACAGAGGGGUAUCCUACAUAUGCAGCACCUCCUCCCGCAGGCUAUCCAACAAAAGAUGAGGCCACUAACCCUCAAAAAUGCUCCGGCACAGACUCAGAGCCGUGGUGAGGGUGGUUUCUGGGAAGGAUGUUGUGCUGCCCUAUGUUGCUGUUGUCUCCUUGACAUGUGCACCUGAUAAUCCCCUGCUGGAUAAAGGAGGCCUCACAUUAUAUUAUACACAUAAUACACAUAUAUAGUUCAUUUGAACUUACUGCAUGAUUAGUGUUGCUUUAGCCUAUUAAUAUGUGAGGUUCAUCAGUAUUAAUAUUGAUUGUACUUUUUUAGUUUCUGUGUGUUUUCCUCCUCAUUUAUUUUAAUAAAGAUCCAAUUAUUUU
This is a long non-coding RNA of Dioscorea cayenensis subsp. rotundata (Guinea yam), 568 nucleotides long. RefSeq lists it as uncharacterized. Lineage: Eukaryota; Viridiplantae; Streptophyta; Magnoliopsida; Dioscoreales; Dioscoreaceae. The record is from RefSeq and is a predicted model, not a curated record. The transcript is spliced from 3 exons.